UGUGUAUAGGUUGGUAGAGGGUGUGUAUAGGUUGGUAGAGGGUGUGUAUAGGUUGGUAGAGGGUGUGUAUAGGUUGGUAGAGAGUGUGUAUAGGUUGGUAGUUGGUAGAGAGUGUGUAUAGGUUGGUAGAGAGUGUGUAUAGGUUGGUAGUUGGUAGAGAGUGUGUAUAGGUUGGUAGAGAGUGUGUAUAGGUUGGUAGAGGGUGUGUAUAGGUUGGUAGAGAGUGUGUAUAGGUUGGUAGUUGGUAGAGAGUGUGUAUAGGUUGGUAGAGAGUGUGUAUAGGUUGGUAGUUGGUAGAGAGUGUGUAUAGGUUGGUAGAGAGUGUGUAUAGGUUGGUAGAGUGUGUAUAGGUUGGUAGAGAGUGUGUAUAGGUUGGUAGAGAGUGUGUAUAGGUUGAUAGAGAGUGUGUAUAGGUUGAUAGAGAGUGUGUAUAGGUUGAUAGAGAGUGUGUAUAGGUUGGUAGAGAGUGUGUAUAGGUUGGUAGAGAGUGUGUAUAGGUUGGUAGAGAGUGUGUAUAGGUUGGUAGAGAGUGUGUAUUGGUUGGUAGAGAGUGUGUAUAGGUUGGUAGAGAGUGUGUAUAGGUUGGUAGAGAGUGUGUAUUGGUUGGUAGAGAGUGUAUAGGUUGGUAGAGAGUGUGUAUAGGUUGGUAGAGAGUGUGUAUAGGUUGAUAGAGAGUGUGUAUAGGUUGGUAGAGAGUGUGUAUAGGUUGGUAGAGAGUGUUUAUAGGUUGAUAGAGAGUGUGUAUAGGUUGGUAGAGAGUGUGUAUAGGUUGAUAGAGAGUGUGUAUAGGUUGAUAGAGAGUGUGUAUAGGUUGGUAGAGAGUGUGUAUAGGUUGAUAGAGAGUGUGUAUAGGUUGAUAGAGAGUGUGUAUAGGUUGAUAGAGAGUGUGUAUAGGUUGGUAGAGAGUGUGUAUAGGUUGAUAGAGAGUGUGUAUAGGUUGGUAGAGAGUGUGUAUAGGUUGGUAGAGAGUGU
Molecule: long non-coding RNA, 972 nt
Organism: Oncorhynchus keta (chum salmon)
Lineage: Eukaryota; Metazoa; Chordata; Actinopteri; Salmoniformes; Salmonidae
Exons: 7
Source: RefSeq, a predicted model, not a curated record